GGUUAAGCGACUAAGCGUACACGGUGGAUGCCCUGGCAGUCAGAGGCGAUGAAGGACGUGCUAAUCUGCGAUAAGCGUCGGUAAGGUGAUAUGAACCGUUAUAACCGGCGAUUUCCGAAUGGGGAAACCCAGUGUGUUUCAACACACUAUCAUUAACUGAAUCCAUAGGUUAAUGAGGCGAACCGGGGGAACUGAAACAUCUAAGUACCCCGAGGAAAAGAAAUCAACCGAGAUUCCCCCAGUAGCGGCGAGCGAACGGGGAGGAGCCCAGAGCCUGAAUCAGUGUGUGUGUUAGUGGAAGCGUCUGGAAAGGCGCGCGAUACAGGGUGACAGCCCCGUACACAAAAAUGCACAUGCUGUGAGCUCGAUGAGUAGGGCGGGACACGUGGUAUCCUGUCUGAAUAUGGGGGGACCAUCCUCCAAGGCUAAAUACUCCUGACUGACCGAUAGUGAACCAGUACCGUGAGGGAAAGGCGAAAAGAAC
RNAcentral lists this ribosomal RNA (484 nucleotides) under Escherichia coli. Its description in RNAcentral is "partial 23S ribosomal RNA". It matches the Rfam family "Bacterial large subunit ribosomal RNA", at positions 1 to 524 of the family's 2925-position model. Lineage: Bacteria; Pseudomonadati; Pseudomonadota; Gammaproteobacteria; Enterobacterales; Enterobacteriaceae. The record is from RNAcentral.